UUGCAGGAAUUUAGCCAAUUCAGAGAUCUUGUUCUCCAUAAUUUGGAAUUUUCCUUCGGAUUUGAUCAAGUUGGAUAGAGUUGGUCAAACCCAAUGGGAAAAAGAUGAAAACAACAAGAAACAGAAACAAACAACAACAGCAACAACAACAAAAACAAUGCAUUUAAUUAAAUGAAGAUGAGCUCAUGCUGGAGUAGGGUGGACUCUGAACCCAGUAGGACAAGCGUCCUUGUUAAGAAGAGGGAAAUCUGGACACACACAGAGCAGAGACCGCCGUGUGAAGAUGGAGGCAGAGAUCGGAGAGAUGCUGCCACAUGCCACAAAUGCCUGGGGCUCCCAGAAACUACACGGAGCCUCCCCCAGCGGCUUCAGCAGGAGCAUGGCUCGGCCAACACUUUAAUCUUGGUCUUCCAGCCUCCAGAACGGUGAGUCGUUUUCCUAAAAUUCCCUUUUCCACUGGUGUGUGGUGCAAGAUGAGGCACAUUUUCCAUGGAUGGUGAACAGAGGGAGGAGCCUUUUGAUCACAACCCGGUCACCCCACUUCUAAGCCACUGUGCCUCCAGCCCCACAAGACUAAGGAGAGAGAGCGCAGAGUGGUGGAGAGUGAGCUGUGCUGGGACCGUUGUUUCCGUAACCUCGUUUUCUGUGUCCAGCUGACACACCUUCAAAGCGGCAUCAGGUCCUACACUGUAGCUUGCAAUGUGCCUGUUUCCAGAAACCAAGGUGAAAGUGCUUUUAGACAGUGUUCCCAUGCAAGAGUCCCUUCCCAGCUUUUUUCUGGAAAUGCAUGUUUCUCUGAACUCUGAGUCCCAAGAAAAAUCAUUUGAGACAUCAAGAAAAUGGGGGAAGUGCUAAAAUUGUGUGGGAAUUCAAGCUUAACAAUAAACAUCAAGACAUUUUUGGUAAAAAUGAAUCCACUGACAUCGGGGAGGAGCAAGAGAACAGCACGCUGACACUGGGUCAGAGGCUAAGACCGACAUUUCUGGGAACCACUCCCGGA
Molecule: non-coding RNA, 1000 nt
Filed under: Pan troglodytes (chimpanzee)
Lineage: Eukaryota; Metazoa; Chordata; Mammalia; Primates; Hominidae
Source: RNAcentral